CACGAUUAACAUGGAUAUCCUUCCCUCCCAAAGAUUAACAUGGAUAUCCUUCCCUCCCAACGAUUAACAUGGAUAUCCUUCCCUCCCAAAGAUUAACAUGGAUAUCCUUCCCUCCCAACGAUUAACAUGGAUAUCCUUCCCUCCCAAAAAUUAAUAUCUUAAUCUAUAUUGUUUUAAAAAAAAAAAUCUUCUUAGAAUUGCAAAAAUGUGUUUUUUCCAUUUUUUGUAAUAAUAGUCAAUCUCAGAAUGCACAAUAAGAAAACUUGGCUGUCAACUCGUUCGAUCACUUUGAUGUGUUUUUAAAUAUACGUGUUAACCAAGGGUUAUUUUUAUUGUGAUAUAAACCUCAGAUUGUUUUCAGAUGCACGUUUUACUUGUUUCAAGCAAUGUUUUAGCUUUAUGGUUUGUGGUCGAAAUUCUAUUGUACACUUUUACUGGAAAUGUGUAAUGGUCCAAUUGAGAAGGAUAUGAUUAAAAUUAUUUACCAGUCUUAUUGUAAGGUAAUAUACCAAUUAAUAACUGUCAAUGCUUCAAGGCUGUCAAUUAGAUUUUGGUACAUAAUGGGAUAUUUAAACCUUUCUGAUCGGCUUCUCAAUGACAGCAACGUCUUAGUCUCCUGAGUUUACACACAUGUACAGACUACGACUGUUUUAUAGAAGUGACAAUUUUUACAAUUCUAUCCUAAGAUUACAUGCCUACAUGGACUACAACUCUUUUUAACUGCCACUACACGGCCUCCGAGCAGGAACUGUUGUCGUACACAAUAACUGUAAAGAAACAGUUGGAGUCAUUAGUGUGUCAAUGAGAGAAGGUAUAUAUUUAAUUGAUAAUUCUGCAUUCUGAUACUUAAGGUUCUUUCAAAACUAUAUUAAACAUAAAUAAAGUGAUGAACACUUUUCAGAAAUCCUGACUGUAUAACUAUCAUUUCAGUUCAAGCAGCAAACUAAAACUACAAGUAGGCAGCAAGUCAACCAUCAGGUAAUACUGUCUUAUCAACCCGUUACUACAAUCAGGUAAUACUGUCUUAUCAACCCGUUACUACAAUCAGGUAAUACUGUCUUAUCAACCCGUUACUACCAUCGGGUAAUACUGUCUUAUCAACCCGUUACUACCAUCGGGUAAUACUGUCUUAUCAACCCGUUACUACCAUCGGGUAAUACUGUCUUAUCAACCCGUUACUACCAUCGGGUAAUACGGUCUUAUCAACCCGUUACUACCAUCGGGUAAUACCGUCUUAUCAACCCGUUACUACCAUCGGGUAAUACCGUCUUAUCAACCCGUUACUACCAUCGGGUAAUACCGUCUUAUCAACCCGUUACUACCAUUAGGAUGUUUAUGUCUUUAAAGUUAAUGUACUCUACGUACUAAAGGUUUUGUUCUCAAGCUAACAUUGUUGGUUGCAAUGCGUAGAACACAUGACAGAAAAAUUCAAUUUAUCCACGCACAUAAUUGCAAUGGUUUUAUAAUCUCUCGUGUCUCAUUCUUUGGUUCUUUUCGUCCCCUAUAACCUCUGGUUUCAUCAAAUGAACUUAAUCUAUUUAUUUCUAUGGUAUAUAGCAUGGUUAAUGUAGCAGAUUGUGGAUGGAUGAAAGAACAGUUUUCUGAAUUAUUGAAAACUUCAUUCAAUUCUGUAUUUACACAAGUAACUUGCAGAGGCUGUUUUUCUGUAGUUUUAAACGCAACUCACUCUUCAUUAUGUUAGGAAUAUCUAUCAAAUGUUGCUUCGAAGCUUUGGGUACUUACACAUUUCAAAGACUUGAUGGUCCAUUUAAAACCAAACUUUCACUGACCUUCUCCUGUUUUGUUCAGUGACACAAGACUAGUGCUUAUUCUAAAUAUAACUGUCUGUGUCAGUAAAUAAUAUGAUUAUGGUUCUGAAACUAUUCAUAAAAUGAUUGUGUUACUACGAUAAGUAAUAGAUAAAUAAGAGUUAGUAGUUGGUUAAAAAAACUUUACAAGUUUCCAAUAACAAGCCCUAAGUGACUGAUGUUGUUUUUGUCAGUUUCAAGAAGAUAUGAAAAAUAGAAAAGUAAACAAGCCAAGAAACUGUAAAAGUAACUGAUGUUAUUAUUUAUAUAUUACUUAUUGACAAGGAAUUUUAUAUAUUAUUUUAUUUUUAAUUUGAUUUAUGUCAUGUAUAUUUAUUUAAUUUCGACAGUGCCAAAUGAAGGACGUCAACAUGCUGUCAAAAUUAAUAGUAUUUUAUCCCACUGGUCUGUGUGAAUAAUAAUGGUGUAUGAAUGUAUUUUUUUAAGAGUUUUAGAACUGUUGUUCUUGGAGUAAGAUACACUGUAUGUGACAUUCAGCAAGUACACUCCUUUGAUAAAAUAGAGAGUUUGUGAAGGAAGUAAAAGUUGCUUCGUGUUAGAAACUGUGAGUUAAGAAAUUGUUUUUCUUGGAUGCUACUUGACACAGUAUAUCUGCAGGUGGUACAAACAGAUUAAUGAUUGUUAGUUUUCAAUAACAUAUGGACCUGGGACAACACUUACUAAAGUAAGUGAUAAAGAGUAUAAAGCUGAUCCAUAAAGAAAAAUACAUUUGGUUUGAGACAAAAAAAAUAACGCAGCGUUGACUUGUGUAAUGGAUAGUACUUUUUUUGUUUUUUAGGCAUUCUACUUGGCUUAGCAGUUUAAAUAUAAAAUUGUGUCAUUCCAAAGCUAGAUAGUGUAUGAAAUUUAAUAGUUAUUAGAUUUUAAUAAAGUUAUUACUAUUAUUAUCAUUAUUAAUCAAGCCCCCCCCCAAAAAAAAUAUUGAUGUAAUUUUCAAACUUUGUAAGUAUCAUUUAUCCUGUAUAGUGUUAGAUACUUUUUUUUUUACUUUACCAUUUACUUAUCACUAUUAAUUGUAUUGUUUUAUCUUAUUUUAAGCUGUGGAACUUAAAGAUUAAAUUGAAAUGGGAGAACAGUGUGUAUUUAUGUGAAAUGUUCAUCAGACUUCAUUCGAUAUAACAUUAACUUGUAUUAGAAAUUCCAUUAUUUCUUCUUUGAAAUCAUGCGUCUGAAUAAUAAACGCGUAGCGCUUUCGUAAUAAGCUACAUAUCUUGAUGUAUGUGAAACUAGUGACUGGUUCGAAGUGUUAUUUAAUAGAAACAUCUAAAAUUCCAUGUGUAGUAAGUAAUAAGACCAUUAUGGGUAUUAUUAUUAUUAGGGUUAGUCAUCUUCAGACUUUUAUUUUGUAGGCUCACUCAGUAAUUUAUUGUUUGUUUGUUUUCUGGCACAGUUAGUAUGGAAACAUUUAUUUUAAAUAUCAAAGUGUGGAGAACAUAAAUUUAUUUGAUGUACUGUGUACUGUUGAAUAAACGUGUUACACUGUGACACAAUCUAGUUAA
Molecule: long non-coding RNA, 3328 nt
Filed under: Limulus polyphemus (Atlantic horseshoe crab)
Lineage: Eukaryota; Metazoa; Arthropoda; Merostomata; Xiphosura; Limulidae
Description: uncharacterized LOC111087482
Source: RNAcentral